GACGUAGGAGGCGAGCGUUGUCCGGAUUCAUUGGGCGUAAAGAGCACGCAGGCGGUUUGGCAAGUCGGAUGUGAAAACCCGAAGCUCAACGUCGGGCCUGCAUCCGAAACUGCCCGACUAGAGGUAGGUAGGGGAGAUCGGAAUUCCUGGUGUAGCGGUGAAAUGCGCAGAUAUCAGGAGGAACACCGGUGGCGAAGGCGGGUCUCUGGGCCGAUACUGACGCUGAGGAGCGAAAGCGUGGGGAGCGAACAGG
RNAcentral lists this ribosomal RNA (253 nucleotides) under uncultured bacterium. RNAcentral describes it as "partial 16S ribosomal RNA". It matches the Rfam family "Bacterial small subunit ribosomal RNA", at positions 524 to 776 of the family's 1533-position model. The record is from RNAcentral.